GGCCCCAUCGUCUAGAGGCCCAGGACCCGGGCUUUUCAAGCCCGUUACAUGGGUUCGAAUCCCAUUGGGGCCG
RNAcentral lists this transfer RNA (73 nucleotides) under Candidatus Sungiibacteriota bacterium. RNAcentral's name for it is "tRNA-Glu". It matches the Rfam family "tRNA". Rfam says of the family: Transfer RNA (tRNA) molecules are approximately 80 nucleotides in length. Their secondary structure includes four short double-helical elements and three loops (D, anti-codon, and T loops). The record is from RNAcentral. Lineage: Bacteria; Candidatus Sungiibacteriota.